GCCACGGAGCAGGAGGGGAGGACCAAGCCGGCCUGGAGGAUAGGGGACAGAGAAAAUCAAAGGAUGCAGAAAGGGAGGAGAGGAGGGUUGAGGAGGCAGAAUCAGGAGAUAGGUUGGAGAAGGUUUGAGCAGAGGGAAGAGAUGAUAGGAUGGAAGAGGAGAGAGAGAGCGAAGGUUGGGACGGCGCAAUACCAUCCGAGUAGGGGCAGAGUGAGAAGUGUUGGAUGAGAGCAAGAGGGAAAAGGAUACAAGGCAGACUCAGGAGAUAGGUUGGAGAAGGUUUGAGCAGAGGGAAGAGAUGAUAGGAUGGAAGAGGAGAGAGUAGCGGGAGAGAGAGAGCGAAGGUUGGGACGGCGCAAUACCAUCCGAGUAGGGGCAGAGUGAGAAGUGUUGGAUGAGAGCGAGAGGGAAAAGGAUACAAGGUAGUGGUCGGAGACUUGGAGGAGAGUGGAAAGAAGGAGGCAGAGAGGAAUGAGUCGAAGGUAGACGUGGGGAGGUUAAAGUCACCCAGAACUGUGAGAGGUGAGCCAUCCUCAGGAAAGGAACUUAUCAAGGCGUCAAGCUCAUUGAUGAACUCUCCAAGGGAACCUGGAGGGCGAUAAAUGAUAAGGAUGUUAAGCUUGAAAGGGCUGGUAACUGUGACAGCAUGGAAUUCAAAUGAGGAGAUAGACAGAUGGGUCAGGG
Molecule: long non-coding RNA, 684 nt
Filed under: Salmo salar (Atlantic salmon)
Lineage: Eukaryota; Metazoa; Chordata; Actinopteri; Salmoniformes; Salmonidae
Description: lncRNA (ENSSSAG00000102636.1)
Source: RNAcentral